Molecule: ribosomal RNA, 462 nt
Filed under: uncultured bacterium
Lineage: Bacteria
Description: partial 16S ribosomal RNA
Rfam family: Bacterial small subunit ribosomal RNA
Source: RNAcentral
AUGAACGCUGACAGAAUGCUUCACCCAUGCCAGUCUUUGGCGAAGCUGUGCUUGCACAGCCUAGCCAAGGCGGACGGGUGAGUAACGCGUAAGGAACUUGCCCUGCAGUCAGGGAUAACAGACGGAAACGACUGAUAAGACCUGGUAAAGUCAGGCGGACUCAUGUCCAGCCUGAUGAAAAGAGAUGCUGCAGGAGAGCCUUGCGUCCUAUUAGCUUGUUGGCGGGGUAACGGCCCACCAAGGCGAUGAUAGGUAGCCGGCCUGAGAGGGUGGACGGCCACAAGGGGACUGAGAUACGGCCCUUACUCCUACGGGAGGCAGCAGUGGGGAAUAUUGGACAAUGGGGGCAACCCUGAUCCAGCAAUUCUGUGUGCACGAUGAAGGUUUUCGGAUUGUAAAGUGCUUUCAGCAGGGAAGAAAAAAAUGACGGUACCUGCAGAAGAAGCGACGGCUAAAUACGUG